This 2299-nucleotide long non-coding RNA is filed under the name Daphnia pulex (common water flea). RNAcentral's name for it is "uncharacterized LOC124191948". Lineage: Eukaryota; Metazoa; Arthropoda; Branchiopoda; Diplostraca; Daphniidae. The record is from RNAcentral.
UUUUAUUUCCAACUUCCAAGUUUUGAAGAAGAUUAAAGAGACAAAGUUGAAAAUUACAUAGCAAACCGAACGAUUGAAAACGUGUAACUUAAGUUUUAAUAGAUCAUGAACGUGGCUUCAAUCAAAUAGGGCAACAAAUCAAAUUACAAAAGUGUGAUCUUCUUGUGAACUCUGGAGUCGCUACUCUCCAUGCUCUCCACUUCAUAUGAUGUUUGGCGGCAUUUAUUGAUUUGAGGUCUGAGCCAGCCAUCAUAACCACAAGAUGUGCCAGUUUUGUUUCUGUUGGUCAUUGUUCAUUGACCUGUCACCGUCACCAACAACAAUCUCAGUAUCACUUGGAUAAACAGCAUCCUGUUCGAUUGCAGUUGCAGAAACUACCGAUACCGAUAUCGGUCGAGUUCUUCCCCUUUAUUUAAAUUUCCUCUACCCUCAUGUACACCCAUGUGAAGGAGUAUAUUCACAAGGAGUCAAGGACCCCAUUUUAUAUCCUGUCUGGCGUAUUCAACUUUACUGCGGAUGGAGCACUUUUGGAUGCCUGGUCGAAAUUCCCAGGGUUAAAGAUAAACAACAUCCCGUUUCAUUGGAGAAACUACCGAUGUCGGUCGAGUUAUGUAUCUCUUCUUCCGAUUUCUUGCAAUGUCCUUGUGUACACCCAUGUGAGUUGGGUGUAUUCAAAAGGACACCCUUUUUCCUAUCCCCUGGAUUCAACUAUAAUGCUGAUGCAGCACUUGUGGAUGCCUGGCCGAAUCUCCCAGGCUUAAAGGCAGGAUUGCAUACGUACUUUCUGUUGUUCUAUACAGUUGGUGUACUUCUUCUUCCGCGUCGGCUGAAGACGUCGGAAUCGGAGACUGAAGCUGCGGCUGAUGUAAAAGAGACAAAGGGAAAAAAAAGGACAGAUGGAACAGGCAAACGUACCGCUAAAGCUUAAAACUUAAGAGAACCGAUGACCUUUGGACUCUGACGAGUCCGACAAACGGGAAAACAUCAUAUUGCGUUUCGGAACUCGUCGUGCCGUCCUCGGCAGAAAAUGCGGAAAUGCAUAAGAAGCGCGUCACAACAAAACUCAAAUGGCGUGAGCACUCUACCACACACUCAUAUUAUAUACAGCCGUGGUAUAUUACAGGACGUGUUUGUACCAGGACUAUAUAAUACAAUACCCCUUCGGCUUCCAUUUGACUCAUAUUUUCCAGCUUCGGUUUGAAAACUUUUCGAAAACAUCAUGCACGCGCGCUAGUCACCGACCAAACUGGACCGGCUGUUUUUUUUUUAUUAUUUUUGGUUGGGUGACACUUAUGUUAUUAUUUUCUGUGAACUCUUAAACAAUACGAGAACGCCUUUUAAUUCAAAACAAAUAUUCAGAGUGAAAUAUUGGAAAUUGAUAGCGCUGAAUUUUAACACAUUUUCGCGAUCAAAUAUUCAACUUUUGACAACUUAUAUGGGUACUUAGUAGGACUAAGUACUGUGUACGAUAGUUAAUUAUGAGUCACUUCUGUAAAUUGUUAGUUGUUUAUUCCAUCACCCAAGCGGCUAUUUAGCUUUAGGCCUUAUAUUAGCUCGAAACGUGUGGGGAGUUCUCUCCUUUCUGAGAACAGACAGGGAGGCGGCCAUCACGGAGCAAAUAAAAAAAAACCCUAAGCAAAACAAAAACAAAUGAAUAACAAGACAGAAAACAUGAAGAAAGAAAGAAAAAAAGGAGAGAACAGGGUUUUGUGAGACGCUUUCGAUGUUUUCUUCUGUAUGUAUGUAUACAAGGCACGGCAGCAGCACUAAGUGACAGUUUGUGGUAGUUAUCCCCCUGUCUCGACUCCAUUAACCUCUGCUGGCUGGUGAGGUCAGCAGGCAGCCUCAGUCGACUUGUAUUUCUUCUUCGCCUAUAUCUCUUUUUUCUUUGAUGCCUCGCUGUAUUAUAUUUUCUGCUUUGGCCCGUCGACCCACGUUGGAGUCUGACAGAUUCGAGUCUUGUUGUCCUGGAAAGCCACCACCAUGUUCUAUAUUGGUUGGGGGGAAAAUAAAACUCUUUUUGAAGUGAGAAGGACGAGUGUCUUUUCUUUUCUUCGGGGUUUUUUAUCGUUUCAUAAAACACUUGUCGACAUGGAACGACCUCUCACCUUCUUGCCUCGACAGCGCACAGCGGUAGAAGCAGCUACAACUCAAAUAUUGCACCGGCAACAACAAACAGCCGCCAUAUCGUCUCCUCAACAGAAACACACGUUGGCUAAAAGCGGACAAGAGUAUCUCUUUCCCGGAAUUGUAUAAUAAGACAGUGUCUAAUUUGAACAUUUUCCUGCUAAUUUCCUAG